This 429-nucleotide ribosomal RNA is filed under the name uncultured prokaryote. RNAcentral's name for it is "bacterial SSU rRNA". It matches the Rfam family "Bacterial small subunit ribosomal RNA", at positions 355 to 774 of the family's 1533-position model. The record is from RNAcentral.
UCGAGAGGCUUCCACAAUGGGGGAAACCCUGAUGGAGCGACGCCGCGUGGGUGAUGAAGGUCUUCGGAUCGUAAAGCCCUUUCAGCAAGGACGAAGGGAUCGGGUGCUACUACCAUCGGGUCAAGGACGGUACUUGCAGAAGAAGCUCCGGCUAACUCCGUGCCAGCAGCCGCGGUAAGACGGAGGGGGCAAGCGUUGUUCGGAUUUACUGGGCGUAAAGGGCGUCUAGGCGGAAUGGUCAGUCAGGUGUGAGACCCCGCGGCUUAACCGGGGAUCUGCACUGGAUACUGCCAAUCUUGAGUAUGGAAGAGGAAAGGGGAAUUCCAGGUGUAGCGGUGAAAUGCGUAGAUAUCGGGAAGAACACCGGUGGCGAAGGCGGCUUUCUGGUCCAAUACUGACGCUAAAGCGCGAAAGUGUGGGGAGCAAACA